UAAUACGUAGGGCGCAAGCGUUGUCCGGAUUUAUUGGGCGUAAAGAGCUCGUAGGCGGUUUGUCGCGUCUUCCGUGAAAACUGGGGGCUUAACUUCCAGCUUGCGGUGGAUACGGGCUGACUGGAGUGCGGCAGGGGAGACUGGAAUUCCUGGUGUAGCGGUGAAAUGCGCAGAUAUCAGGAGGAACACCGGUGGCGAAGGCGGGUCUCUGGGCCGUUACUGACGCUGAGGAGCGAAAGCGUGGGGAGCGAACAGGAUUAGAUACCCUGGUAGUCCACGCUGUAAACGUUGGGCGCUAGGUGUGGGGGACUUUCCACGUUCUCCGUGCCGUAGCUAACGCAUUAAGCGCCCCGCCUGGGGAGUACGGCCGCAAGGCUA
RNAcentral lists this ribosomal RNA (378 nucleotides) under uncultured bacterium. Its description in RNAcentral is "bacterial SSU rRNA". It matches the Rfam family "Bacterial small subunit ribosomal RNA", at positions 521 to 896 of the family's 1533-position model. The record is from RNAcentral.